This 484-nucleotide ribosomal RNA is filed under the name uncultured bacterium. RNAcentral describes it as "partial 16S ribosomal RNA". It matches the Rfam family "Bacterial small subunit ribosomal RNA", at positions 28 to 507 of the family's 1533-position model. The record is from RNAcentral.
AUUGAACGCUGGCGGCAUGCUUUACACAUGCAAGUCGAACGGCAGCGCGGGCUUCGGCCUGGCGGCGAGUGGCGAACGGGUGAGUAAUGCAUCGGAACGUGCCCAGUAGUGGGGGAUAGCCCGGCGAAAGCCGGAUUAAUACCGCAUACGACCUGAGGGUGAAAGCGGGGGACCGAAAGGCCUCGCGCUAUUGGAGCGGCCGAUGUCGGAUUAGCUAGUUGGUGGGGUAAAGGCUUACCAAGGCGACGAUCCGUAGCUGGUCUGAGAGGACGACCAGCCACACUGGGACCGAGACACGGCCCAGACUCCUACGGGAGGCAGCAGUGGGGAAUUUUGGACAAUGGGGGCAACCCUGAUCCAGCCAUGCCGCGUGCGGGAAGAAGGCCCUCGGGUUGUAAACCGCUUUUGUUCGGGAAGAAAUCCUCUGGGCUAAUACCCCGGGGGGAUGACGGUACCGGAAGAAUAAGCACCGGCUAACUACGUG